GACGUAGGGCGCGAGCGUUGUCCGGAUUUAUUGGGCGUAAAGAGCUCGUAGGCGGCUUGUCGCGUCGAUUGUGAAAACCCGAGGCUCAACUUCGGGCUUGCAGUCGAUACGGGCAGGCUAGAGUUCGGUAGGGGAGACUGGAAUUCCUGGUGUAGCGGUGAAAUGCGCAGAUAUCAGGAGGAACACCGAUGGCGAAGGCAGGUCUCUGGGCCGAUACUGACGCUGAGGAGCGAAAGCGUGGGGAGCGAACAGG
This 253-nucleotide ribosomal RNA is filed under the name uncultured bacterium. RNAcentral's name for it is "partial 16S ribosomal RNA". It matches the Rfam family "Bacterial small subunit ribosomal RNA", at positions 524 to 776 of the family's 1533-position model. The record is from RNAcentral.